This 446-nucleotide ribosomal RNA is filed under the name uncultured bacterium. RNAcentral's name for it is "partial 16S ribosomal RNA". It matches the Rfam family "Bacterial small subunit ribosomal RNA", at positions 338 to 795 of the family's 1533-position model. The record is from RNAcentral.
CCUACGGGCGGCAGCAGUCGAGAAUCAUUCACAAUGGGGGAAACCCUGAUGGUGCGACGCCGCGUGGGGGAAUGAAGGUCUUCGGAUUGUAAACCCCUGUCAUGUGGGAGCAAAUUAAAAAGAUAGUACCACAAGAGGAAGAGACGGCUAACUCUGUGCCAGCAGCCGCGGUAAUACAGAGGUCUCACGCGUUGUUCGGAAUCACUGGGCGUAAAGCGUGCGUAGGCUGUUUCGUAAGUCGUGUUUGAAAGGCGCGGGCUCAACCCGCGGACGGCACAUGAUACUGCGAGACUAGAGUAAGGGAGGGGGAACCGGAAUUCUCGGUGUAGCAGUGAAAUGCGUAGAUAUCGAGAGGAACACUCGUGGCGAAGGCGGGUGCCUGGACAUUAACUGACGCUGAAGCACGAAGGCCAGGGGAGCGAAAGGGAUUAGAUACCCCUGUAGUC